Molecule: ribosomal RNA, 308 nt
Filed under: uncultured bacterium
Lineage: Bacteria
Description: partial 16S ribosomal RNA
Rfam family: Bacterial small subunit ribosomal RNA
Source: RNAcentral
GAGACAGCAGCAGCCGCGGUAAUACGAAGGGUGCAAGCGUUACUCGGAAUUACUGGGCGUAAAGCGUGCGUAGGUGGUGGUUUAAGUCCGUUGUGAAAGCCCUGGGCUCAACCUGGGAAUUGCAGUGGAUACUGGGUCACUAGAGUGUGGUAGAGGAUAGUGGAAUUUCCGGUGUAGCAGUGAAAUGCGUAGAGAUCGGAAGGAACAUCUGUGGCGAAGGCGACUAUCUGGGCCAACACUGACACUGAGGCACGAAAGCGUGGGGAGCAAACAGGAUUAGAUACCCCCGUAGUCCCUGUCUCUUAUUC